RNAcentral lists this long non-coding RNA (232 nucleotides) under Elaeis guineensis (African oil palm). RNAcentral describes it as "long non-coding RNA (EGUI_LNC017077)". The record is from RNAcentral. Lineage: Eukaryota; Viridiplantae; Streptophyta; Magnoliopsida; Arecales; Arecaceae.
UUGGAGCUUAUUGGAUAUGGAUGCUAGCAUGUAGCAUCGGGCCUUAUUAUUAUCAUCCAACUAUUUUUUGUGGGUAGCCCUUUGAUCAAGGGUCAGACGAGCUAGUAGAGGGGGAAGGUCCUGGUCAAGAAUAUAGUUCAACUUCUCAAAACUCAAGAUUAUCUUCAAGUUAUGGAGCCAAUCUUUAUAAUUGAGUUCAGUCAAUCGGUUGGUUUCUAGGAUAUGAGUGAGU